CAUCCGGUAUUUGUUUGGUUCAGCCAUGCCAGCAUUCGAAUUAAUUAAUCACAGCGUCAUGUGUCGAACGUUGUGGUUUAUUUUAAUCGAAAAUUAACGUUUUCACGUCAUUGGGGCCCAUGUGAUGUUGUGAGCACAGCCCCAAUAGCCUCAGCCAUGUCCGUCUUGGUCGAACCGUGUUCUGGUCCGAUAUGGCGAAAGCGUCCCUUCAAGGGCCUGGAUGGCCCGGAUGUGAAACGAAGACGCGUCGCCCAACUGCAGCUGGAACCCGAGAGACCGAGAUCAUCGGACGAAGAUACUGAGAGCGUCAGCAGCAUACAAGAGAAGGAAACCGGUACGAAAGGAUCAGCCGCUGUAGCCACCCGGACGCGGACCGAAGAUUGUAAACAUUUCGUUUUAGAUUAUGUUAAGGACGCUUCGGAACCAGAGUCCCAGACCUCAGUACAAAGUUCCACCGAUGAAUAUGAAGUCGAAGUGGCGUACGAGGUGGAAUCUAAUGGAAAUUCCAGCGAUAUUUCUUCACCUGAAUCAGAUAUGAUGGUGGCUGUGGCAGCUGCAAUGAUAUGCAACAAGCCCUUGGACGCAUGGCUAACUGAUGCUGAGGCGUCGUACUCAGAUUCUAGCACUUCAUUGGACGAGAUCGCCUUCAGACGACAAGAGUUCACCACCUGCUUGCUAUGCAAGACCAAGAACCCCAACCCACUCUACAGAUACUGUGAACAAUGUUUUCAGGAUGUCUGAUGUGCCACGGAAUGAAUCAUGUAAGACACAUGUAAUUUGAUGUGGUAACACUCCAACUGCCCAUCGAAGGAAACAGGGUUGCAGGUAAGUAGGCAGGUAAGUCGCACUUGAUAGCAAAAAGCAGCGGGGCACUCUGCCUUGUGAAGUUGCUAUAGUUCUAGUGUUGCUGCUAUAGAUCUAGAGUAGAACUGUAUUUAACAUUAAAAACACUUAGAUUAAGUGACUACUAAAAUGUUACUCUAUGCUCUGCUAUUUGAAUGGAGUGUCUAGUCAGUUGCUGAGUGGGUAAGUAAGUUCUGGCCUCAUCGGUAAAGCACAAUGUCCUUCGUGAGCCAAAAAAAAUCUAGACACAUUUUUCAACUUUCAUUUAGGAACGUUCCAUUGACUGCAUUAAAGGCACUCAUGCCAAAUGACUUGCCCUGUAUAACUUCGGACUCAUCGACAGAGUGUGGCAGAAUGCAUUAUAGAACCAUCUAUUAAUAGCUGUCUACAUAUACAGGGUGUUUGGUAAGUCGAUGUCCAAAAUUUACAGGGUUGGCAAUCAUCACGUUGUGCGAUUUGAGUUAAAGUUUCAAAGUGUGUUAUGGGUUGUGCGAACUUGAGCUACCUGCCUUGGAUUGAGAGUUCAAAUGUUUUAAAAGCGAGUGAGGUGAAAAUGCUAAUUUUUCGCUUAUUCACAUAUUUGAAAAAAUCAGUCUUUAGCAUGGUUUAAAUGAAAAUUGCAAGAUCAAACCGAUUCAGGAUCGAAAGUUUGAAUUUUGAUUUUUUUAGGGAAAGUGUCGAGUUGAUCGAAAACGUUUUUUAUGCCAUUGUUUACAGGGCUGGCAAAAAUCGGUUUUUGGUAUAAUUUCAAAGAAAAUUGCACGAUUCCAUCUGGAAGUGUAUUUUAAAGGGUGUGCCAAUUUCAGUUUUAGGCUCAUGAUCGGAAGUCGGGAAUUUGUAAAGGGUGCGUGCAAUUGAGCGACAGUGUUUAUUUUCCGUCCAUCAUUAACAGAUGUAUUUGGCAAAAUAAGUCUUGUACAAUUUCAAAGAGUAUUGCAGGAUUCUUAGCUUGAAGUGUCUUCUAUAAGGUGUGCGAAUCUCAGUUAGUUUCGUUCUCAGGAUUGAAAGUUUGAAAUAUUUAAAGGUACAAACAAUGUUUAUUUUGCGGCCAUAAUUAAUCUUGCCCAAUUUCAAUGAGAAUUACCGGCUUGGUAUAAAGUGUCUUCUAUGUGGAUAGGAAUUUAAAAAAUUUCGGAAAAACUCCGAAAAUGCUCGAAACAAUCUCGGGCAACGAAGACAUCGACUUGCCUAAUACCCAGUAUAUUAUAUGCAGGGAGUCCAGGGGCUGUUGUUGGGUCUUGAAGGUCCAGGUCAGAAGACCGAUUGAAUGAUCAGUGCCACCCAUACUGGACACCCUGUGUAUCGCAUUAAGGGCCAUUUCGGCUGCAGAAGGUCCAAUCCAGGCCAUAGACCGUUUGGCUUAUUUGUCCGAUUUUGUCAUCAGGAGAGAAAGACAUUAUUGCCGGCGCGGCCCGUCCAGAAACGGUGUUGGGUGAAAGCCAAUAAGUACAAGUCUAAUGAAAUCGCUGCCUUGAAGGCCUACCAGAGCGGCCAUUCGCAAGAUUCCGGCAUGGGCUUGAGUGAGGAGAUGUCGCCUUAUGGACUGGAGCCGACCAUCACAGUGUAUAGGUCAGGUACGUCUGCAUCUCUUACCCGUUUAUCGGCAAAUUUAUCGCAGAAAAGUAAGUUGCGUUCUGCAAAACGCAAACUUCUCAAGAAAACCGGCUUGAAAAGGGCGCGCCCGUUCUCUGAAAGCAGCAUUUCGGAGUUCGAGGUGAAAAAGCCCAAAUUGCUCCCC
This is an RNA transcript of Dendroctonus ponderosae (mountain pine beetle), 2581 nucleotides long. It is a transcript of the gene named thymosin beta, with no coding region annotated. The record is from RefSeq and is a predicted model, not a curated record. The transcript is spliced from 5 exons. NCBI's taxonomy places the organism in Eukaryota, Metazoa, Arthropoda, Insecta, Coleoptera, Curculionidae.